Molecule: ribosomal RNA, 498 nt
Filed under: uncultured bacterium
Lineage: Bacteria
Description: bacterial SSU rRNA
Rfam family: Bacterial small subunit ribosomal RNA
Source: RNAcentral
AUUGAACGCUGGCGGCGUGCCUAACACAUGCAAGUCGAGCGGCAGCGCGGGAGCAAUCCUGGCGGCGAGCGGCGGACGGGUGAGUAACGCUUGGGAAUCUGCCUGUUAGUGGGGGACAACCCGGGGAAACUCGGGCUAAUACCGCAUACGCACUACGGUGGAAAGCCGGGGACCGCAAGGCCUGGCGCUAACAGAUGAGCCCAAGUCGGAUUAGCUAGUUGGUAGGUAACGGCCACCAAGGCGACGAUCCGUAACUGGUCUGAGAGGACGACCAGUCACACCGGAACUGAGACACGGUCCGGACUCCUACGGGAGGCAGCAGUGGGGAAUAUUGGACAAUGGGGAAACCCUGAUCCAGCGACGCCGCGUGGGUGAAGAAGGCCUGCGGGUUGUAAAGCCCUUUCAGUGGGGAAGAAAAGCCUCGACCUAACACGUCGGGGUCUUGACGUAACCCAUAGAAGAAGCACCGGCUAACUCUGUGCCAGCCGCCGCAGUAAC